RNAcentral lists this ribosomal RNA (418 nucleotides) under uncultured bacterium. Its description in RNAcentral is "partial 16S ribosomal RNA". It matches the Rfam family "Bacterial small subunit ribosomal RNA", at positions 363 to 773 of the family's 1533-position model. The record is from RNAcentral.
AUUGGACAAUGGGGGCAACCCUGAUCCCUCCAUGCCGCGUGUGUGAAGAAGGUCUUCGGAUUGUAAAUCACUUUACGUUGGGAGGAAGGGCUUUAGGUUAAUACCCUGAAGUUUUGACGUUACCAACAGAAUAAGCACCGGCUAACUCUUUGCCAGCAGCCGCGGUAAUACAGAGUGUGCAAGCGUUAAUCGGAAUUACUGGGUGUAUAGCGCGCGGAGGUGGUUCAGUAAGAUGGGUGUGAAAUCCCCGGGCUUAACCUGGGAACUGCUUUCAUAACUGCGGAGCUAGAGUACGGUAGAGGGUAGUGGAAUUUCCUGUGUAGCGGUGAAAUGCGUAGAUAUAGGAAGGAACACCAGUGGCGAAGGCGACUACCUGGACUGAUACUGACACUGAGGUGCGAAAGCGUGGGGAGCAAAC